AACGAACGCUGGCGGCAUGCCUAACACAUGCAAGUCGAACGAAGCCUUCGGGCUUAGUGGCGCACGGGUGCGUAACGCGUGGGAAUCUGCCCUUUGGUUCGGAAUAACAGUUGGAAACGACUGCUAAUACCGGAUGAUGACGAAAGUCCAAAGAUUUAUCGCCAGAGGAUGAGCCCGCGUAGGAUUAGCUAGUUGGUGUGGUAAAGGCGCACCAAGGCGACGAUCCUUAGCUGGUCUAAGAGGAUGAUCAGCCACACUGGGACUGAGACGCGGCCCAGACUCCUACGGGAGGCAGCAGUGGGGAAUAUUGGACAAUGGGCGAAAGCCUGAUCCAGCAAUGCCGCGUGAGUGAUGAAGGCCCUAGGGUUGUAAAGCUCUUUUACCCGGGAUGAUAAUGACAGUACCGGGAGAAUAAGCCCCGGCUAACUCCGUGCCAGCCGCCGCGGUAA
This 449-nucleotide ribosomal RNA is filed under the name uncultured bacterium. RNAcentral's name for it is "partial 16S ribosomal RNA". It matches the Rfam family "Bacterial small subunit ribosomal RNA", at positions 29 to 523 of the family's 1533-position model. The record is from RNAcentral.